CCCCUCUCAGGUUGGUACCUGGAGAGUUUCUGGUGCUCUACCAGUCUCGACUAAGGUAGGGAGAGUCAAGCAGAGGCCUACCCAUUCCAUUCCCAGCUUGGGCAGCGGCUAGCAAAUGGAAGGCAAUCUGCUACAAGU
Small nucleolar RNA from Ornithorhynchus anatinus (platypus), 138 nucleotides. NCBI's taxonomy places the organism in Eukaryota, Metazoa, Chordata, Mammalia, Monotremata, Ornithorhynchidae. The record is from RefSeq and is a predicted model, not a curated record.